GUAUUUUGGAACUAUAGUUCCAAAUGAAAAGAAAAAUGUAGGUGACAUUUUUGACAGCUAACUUCAGAGAGAUCUUAAAGUUUGUACUGUGCUCGGCGGAAUUUUUUAUUUGGUGCGUUUUUUUUUUCAAACUGUACAUGCGCGGGCCACUUAAAAUUAUUUUGGGGGCCACACUGUGGCCCGCGGGCCUGGAGUUGAGCAGCCUUGCUAUAAGCAGUCUCCAGCGUGUUUUGCCCUACACAAUCAAGAAAAACAUAUUUGUCAACAUUUUUCGUAGGCAAUAUUGUUGAAUGUUGACGUUUUUGUUUGGAGAAGACCCGGCUUUAAAUAGAGCCUUAAAGAGCGGCUUCAAAUAUUUAUAUAAUCUUUGGCCUUAAUUACGACAUUACGAUCUGUCAUGUCUGACCUGUCAAUAUUUUGACUUUUUUUUCUGACGUAAAAUGUAUUUACGCGAGUGAUUUUGUUUGUAAAAGUCGAAAUUUUAAGGUUUUUGUGAACUUUCGCUAAUUAAUUGCAACCAUCAUGGGAAGUCUAGACAGAGGAGUACUCACUGGAUUUAUAUGCAGGCUUUGUUCGGAAAUGCAUCGAGUCGUACUUCAUAUCUACGGAGAAGAGGGUAUACGUUUAUGUAUCUCCGAGAAGAUCAAUAGAUAUCUCUCAAUAAAUGUGUCCCGUUCGGAUCCAUUGCCCAAAACAAUCUGCAAAAAUUGCCUGGAAAGAUUGGAAAAUCAGCACAGAUUGGUAAUGCGCAUUGAACAAGCAGCAAAUCUCUUGAAAGGACAACGGCGGGCACGAUUCAAUAAUAAUUAUCAAUUAACCAGUUAAUUAUGUAAACCAUUAUGUAUUAGUUAUAGUUCUCUUUAAUUAAGCCUUUAAUUUAGAUUGAAAUGUUUGUAAAACCAGACAGACAGGUAUGAUUAUGAUAUAUUUUUUAAUGAGAUGUUAAUUACCUGAACAUCAUUCAAUGAACAACCAUUGGUUGAAUGAUUACUUUACUAUGACUAUGACUUGGUUUACAAUUAUUUUCAAUGAAUCUUGCAUUAAAUUGCUAUUAUUUUAUA
This is a long non-coding RNA of Ostrinia furnacalis (Asian corn borer), 1061 nucleotides long. RefSeq lists it as uncharacterized. NCBI's taxonomy places the organism in Eukaryota, Metazoa, Arthropoda, Insecta, Lepidoptera, Crambidae. The record is from RefSeq and is a predicted model, not a curated record. The transcript is spliced from 2 exons.